UUAACCUGAGUUACUAGUAGGGAUGUGCGCGACGACUAAUUUUACUGUCGUUUAAACGAAAGUUUUGUAUCCGACUAGUCUAAAAGCAAGAACCCCC
Sinocyclocheilus grahami is the source of this 97-nucleotide long non-coding RNA. RefSeq lists it as uncharacterized. The record is from RefSeq and is a predicted model, not a curated record. The transcript is spliced from 3 exons. NCBI's taxonomy places the organism in Eukaryota, Metazoa, Chordata, Actinopteri, Cypriniformes, Cyprinidae.